This 340-nucleotide long non-coding RNA is filed under the name Neogale vison (American mink). RNAcentral describes it as "Neovison vison (American mink) lncRNA (ENSNVIG00000021883.1)". Lineage: Eukaryota; Metazoa; Chordata; Mammalia; Carnivora; Mustelidae. The record is from RNAcentral.
CAGCCUCGGGCUGAGUGGGCCAUCGGCACACGUUUGCCGAAUGGCUCACUGGCUGAGUGAACGGAUAAGUUAAGGAAUGAAAAGAGUUAUGAACAGGAGCCAAGCAAAGAGGGGCCUGCACCUGAAGGCUAUACGUGCUCUAGGAAAAAAUCCACCCAGAGACCACCGCAGGGAUGGGCCCACAUGAAGGUGAUCCAGUGGUCCUGGGGAAGGCGUCUGGGAGGCUAGGAAAACACGGAAUCCAACAGCUCCCUGCAGAGAAGUCAAGGAAGAGGAUGCACUGGCCCAGCCUCUCCCACCCUCGCUAUUUUCUUUCCCCUUCUCAGUGGGAAGAUUGUGG